UUUACAUAGUAACAGUUCAGUCAAUCAUUCUGUAGUAACCGCCUACUAUGCACUUGCAGAUGUUAUUAUCUAGGAAAUGGCACAAGAUUCGCCGAGGAAAAUGUCUAAAUCUUAUACAUGUAGAGUUUUCUAACAGUUUGCAAAAUACAUGUGACGGAAUUAACGAGUAAUUUUAACUCAAUAAAUGAUGUUUUAUAUGAUACUACGUUUUGGAUUCACUGGGAGAAGCCAAUAAAAAAGGUUGAUGUUGAACCUUCAUAUAUGGUUACAUGACAGGAUGGGAAAAGAUCUGGUAGACUGGCAAAAGAAGAAUGUGAAUAUCUAACUGACUAUGAGGAAUCAUGAACUAUUUUCUCUAAAAGAGGAAUAACGUUAUGCUUAAUUGUUUAACCAUUUGCCAAUUAAAGGACAGAAACAUGUAGAUACUUAAUAAUAUUACAACAAUAUAUUGUUGAGUAAGAUCAAAGCUCAUAUGAAAUAAAUAUAUAUUAAACUUUAUUUCACAUAGACAUGCAAACAUUUUCAUAAAGCGAUCAUUCAUAACAUGUUUUGUUUCAUCUUG
This is a long non-coding RNA of Mercenaria mercenaria, 562 nucleotides long. RefSeq lists it as uncharacterized. The transcript has 2 exons. NCBI's taxonomy places the organism in Eukaryota, Metazoa, Mollusca, Bivalvia, Venerida, Veneridae. The record is from RefSeq and is a predicted model, not a curated record.